This 253-nucleotide ribosomal RNA is filed under the name uncultured prokaryote. RNAcentral's name for it is "partial 16S ribosomal RNA". It matches the Rfam family "Bacterial small subunit ribosomal RNA", at positions 524 to 776 of the family's 1533-position model. The record is from RNAcentral.
UACAGAGGGUGCAAGCGUUAAUCGGAAUUACUGGGCGUAAAGGGCGCGUAGGUUGUUGUUUAAGUGAGAUGUGAAAGCCCCGGGCUCAACCUGGGAACUGCAUCCAAAACUGGCAAGCUAGAGUAUGGUAGAGGGUGGUGGAAUUUCCUGUGUAGCGGUGAAAUGCGUAGAUAUAGGAAGGAACACCAGUGGCGAAGGCGACCACCUGGACUGAUACUGACACUGAGGUGCGAAAGCGUGGGGAGCAAACAGG